Non-coding RNA from Tothia fuscella, 134 nucleotides. NCBI's taxonomy places the organism in Eukaryota, Fungi, Ascomycota, Dothideomycetes, Venturiales, Cylindrosympodiaceae. The record is from the annotation of a GenBank genome assembly.
GGAUGCAUGGUGUAGUUGGUUUAUCACAUCAGUCUAACACACUGAAGGGUAAGUUGUUCCUUUCCAACCCGCUUCUGCCAGGGAGUGAAGCUGACAUAAAGUUAUAGUCCCAAGUUCGAGCCUUGGUGCGUUCA